Molecule: ribosomal RNA, 270 nt
Filed under: uncultured archaeon
Lineage: Archaea
Description: partial 16S ribosomal RNA
Rfam family: Archaeal small subunit ribosomal RNA
Source: RNAcentral
CAGCACCUCAAGUGGUCAGGAUGAUUAUUGGGCCUAAAGCGUCCGUAGCCGGACUAGUAAACUCUUUGGUAAAUUGGGCAGCUUAACUGUCCAAAUUCCGAGGGGACUGCUAGUCUUGGGACCGGGAGAGGUCAGAGGUACUCAAGGGGUAGGGGCUAAAUCCUGUAAUCCUUUGGGGACCACCAGUGGCGAAGGCGUCUGACUAGAACGGAUCCGACGGUAAGGGACGAAACCCUGGGGCGCGAACCGGAUUAGAUACCCGAGUAGUCC